CACGCCGUAAACGAUGGGUACUAGGUGUCUGGGGGAACGACCCCCUGGGUGCCGGCGCUAACGCAUGAAGUACCCCGCCUGGGGANAACGCGAAGAACCUUACCUGGGCUUGACAUGCUGGAGAAAGCUCGCAGAAACGUGAGCCCCUCUUCGGAGUUCCAGCACAGAUGC
This 171-nucleotide ribosomal RNA is filed under the name uncultured bacterium. RNAcentral describes it as "partial 16S ribosomal RNA". The stretch from base 1 to 79 matches the Rfam family "Bacterial small subunit ribosomal RNA", at positions 796 to 873 of the family's 1533-position model. The record is from RNAcentral.